RNAcentral lists this ribosomal RNA (498 nucleotides) under uncultured bacterium. RNAcentral's name for it is "partial 16S ribosomal RNA". It matches the Rfam family "Bacterial small subunit ribosomal RNA", at positions 30 to 523 of the family's 1533-position model. The record is from RNAcentral.
AUUGAACGCUGGCGGCAUGCCUUACACAUGCAAGUCGAACGGGCUUUGGGGCUUGCUCCAAAGUUAGUGGCGAACGGGUGAGUAAUAUAUCGGAACGUACCCUAGAGUGGGGGAUAACUAGUCGAAGGACUGGCUAAUACCGCAUACGAUCUAAGGAUGAAAGUGGGGGACCGCAAGGCCUCAUGCUCAUGGAGCGGCCGAUAUCUGAUUAGCUAGUUGGUAGGGUAAAAGCCUACCAAGGCGACGAUCAGUAGCUGGUCUGAGAGGACGAUCAGCCACACGGGGACUGAGACACGGCCCAGACUCCUACGGGAGGCAGCAGUGGGGAAUUUUGGACAAUGGGGGAAACCCUGAUCCAGCAAUGCCGCGUGAGUGAAGAAGGCCUUCGGGUUGUAAAGCUCUUUUGUCAGGGAAGAAACGGUGGGGGCUAAUAUCCUCUGCUAAUGACGGUACCUGAAGAAUAAGCACCGGCUAACUACGUGCCAGCAGCCGCAGUAA